AGACGGGGGCCCGCACAAGCGGUGGAGCAUGUGGUUUAAUUCGAAGCAACGCGAAGAACCUUUACCAGGUCUUGACAUCCCGAUGCUAUUUCUAGAGAUAGAAAGUUACUUCGGUACAUCGGUGACAGGUGGUGCAUGGUUGUCGUCAGCUCGUGUCGUGAGAUGUUGGGUUAAGUCCCGCAGCGAGCGCAACCCCUAUUGUUAGUUGCCAUCAUUCAGUUGGGCACUCUAGCGAGACUGCCGGUAAUAAACCGGAGGAAGGUGGGGAUGACGUCAAAUCAUCAUGCCCCUUAUGACCUGGGCUACACACGUGCUACAAUGGUUGGUACAACGAGUUGCGAGUCGGUGACGGCGAGCUAAUCUCUUAAAGCCAAUCUCAGUUCGGAUUGUAGGCUGCAACUCGCCUACAUGAAGUCGGAAUCGCUAGUAAUCGCGGAUCAGCACGCCGCGGUGAAUACGUUCCCGGGCCUU
RNAcentral lists this ribosomal RNA (471 nucleotides) under uncultured Streptococcus sp. RNAcentral's name for it is "bacterial SSU rRNA". It matches the Rfam family "Bacterial small subunit ribosomal RNA", at positions 912 to 1382 of the family's 1533-position model. The record is from RNAcentral. Lineage: Bacteria; Bacillati; Bacillota; Bacilli; Lactobacillales; Streptococcaceae.